Molecule: ribosomal RNA, 253 nt
Filed under: uncultured bacterium
Lineage: Bacteria
Description: partial 16S ribosomal RNA
Rfam family: Bacterial small subunit ribosomal RNA
Source: RNAcentral
UGCGAAGGGGGCUAGCGUUGCUCGGAAUCACUGGGCGUAAAGCGCACGUAGGCGGAUUGCUAAGUCAGGGGUGAAAUCCUGGAGCUCAACUCCAGAACUGCCUUUGAUACUGGCGACCUUGAGUCCGGGAGAGGUGAGUGGAACUGCGAGUGUAGAGGUGAAAUUCGUAGAUAUUCGCAAGAACACCAGUGGCGAAGGCGGCUCACUGGCCCGGUACUGACGCUGAGGUGCGAAAGCGUGGGGAGCAAACAGG